UACGUAGGGUGCGAGCGUUAAUCGGAAUUACUGGGCGUAAAGCGUGCGCAGGCGGUUUUGUAAGCCAGAUGUGAAAUCCCCGGGCUUAACCUGGGAAUGGCAUUUGGGACUGCAAGGCUGGAGUGCGGCAGAGGAGACUGGAAUUCCUGGUGUAGCAGUGAAAUGCGUAGAUAUGCGGAGGAACACCGAUGGCGAAGGCAAUCCCCUGGGCCUGCACUGACGCUCAUGCACGAAAGCGUGGGGAGCAAACGGG
This 253-nucleotide ribosomal RNA is filed under the name uncultured bacterium. RNAcentral describes it as "partial 16S ribosomal RNA". It matches the Rfam family "Bacterial small subunit ribosomal RNA", at positions 524 to 776 of the family's 1533-position model. The record is from RNAcentral.